CCGGCCACUCCAGGGGACCCCUGUGACCAUGGGACGGCAUAUCUUCAGGGCCAGUGCAAGACCGCACCGGCCCAAGGCAUACGGUUGCAGGGUGUCUGACAGGAGGAGGGUGCACAGCACAGUGCUCCCCCCUGUGCCAUUCACUGCAUGAAGCGUUGCUAAGCGGUUUGCGGGUAGAGGGGCCUCUGUUUUCCUCUACACAGUCUGACAGGAAGUGCUUCCUCGCAGAUUGGAUUGCUUGAUCCUCAAGGCCACGAUACAUGUAUGAGAGCAGGAUGUCGAAGAGACACAUGGAAGGGAGUCUGGGGGGGAAUUGACACAUGGAAG
Molecule: non-coding RNA, 327 nt
Organism: Pelobates cultripes (western spadefoot toad)
Lineage: Eukaryota; Metazoa; Chordata; Amphibia; Anura; Pelobatidae
Source: the annotation of a GenBank genome assembly